AUGGGGAACUGCGGGUUGAAGCCGAAGGCGCUUGGCGACGACGACGCUCCCCCGCCUGCCGAGCCGCCGACGGCACCGGCGACCGGCGCGGAACAGGAGGCGGCGCUGCCGGCGGUGGUGGAAGAGGCACAGGUACCUGCGGAGGAAGCUAGCCGGGACGUCGUGGUCGGGCAACAGAGUGAGGAGGGUACCAGCGCAGCAGCUGAAACGAAAGAACAGGAAGAACCGAAGGAAACAGAGGGCACGGAGCCCCCGAAGGAGAAGGAAACGGUGGCGGAGGAGGCCCCCUCCGCCGGCGAACUUCCGACGUCCACGCCGGCCAGCGUCGCCUGA
Molecule: ribosomal RNA, 333 nt
Filed under: Triticum aestivum (bread wheat)
Lineage: Eukaryota; Viridiplantae; Streptophyta; Magnoliopsida; Poales; Poaceae
Description: partial small subunit ribosomal RNA
Source: RNAcentral